RNAcentral lists this ribosomal RNA (565 nucleotides) under uncultured bacterium. RNAcentral describes it as "bacterial SSU rRNA". It matches the Rfam family "Bacterial small subunit ribosomal RNA", at positions 338 to 916 of the family's 1533-position model. The record is from RNAcentral.
CCUACGGGGAGGCAGCAGUGAGGAAUUUUCCGCAAUGGGCGAAAGCCUGACGGAGCAAUGCCGCGUGAAGGAUGAAGGCCUAUGGGUUGUAAACUUCUUUUCUCAGAGAAGAAAUUUUGACGGUAUCUGAGGAAUAAGCAUCGGCUAACUCUGUGCCAGCAGCCGCGGUAAGACAGAGGAUGCAAGCGUUAUCCGGAAUGAUUGGGCGUAAAGUGUCUGUAGGUGGCUUAAAAAGUCUCCUGUCAAAGAUCAGGGCUUAACCCUGGGCCGGCAGGAGAAACUCUUAGGCUAGAGUUUGGUAGGGGCAGAGGGAAUUCCCGGUGGAGCGGUGAAAUGCGUAGAGAUCGGGAGGAACACCAAAGGCGAAAGCACUCUGCUGGGCCACAACUGACACUCAGAGACGAAAGCGAGGGGAGCAAAAGGGAUUAGAUACCCCUGUAGUCCUCGCCGUAAACGAUGGAUACUAGAUGUUGGAUAGGUUAAAUCAUUCAGUAUCGUAGCUAACGCGUGAAGUAUCCCGCCUGGGGAGUAUGCUCGCAAGAGUGAAACUCAAAGGAAUUGACGG